Molecule: non-coding RNA, 110 nt
Organism: Eumeta japonica
Lineage: Eukaryota; Metazoa; Arthropoda; Insecta; Lepidoptera; Psychidae
Source: the annotation of a GenBank genome assembly
AACGUCCUUACCUCGCUGAAUACAGCGGUUCCGCCCGAUUACCGAAGUGAAGCAGUGUUGGGUGCAAACUGUAUUUGGAUUGGAGACCGCCUGGGAACACUGUGAUGUCG